This 246-nucleotide ribosomal RNA is filed under the name uncultured bacterium. RNAcentral describes it as "partial 16S ribosomal RNA". It matches the Rfam family "Bacterial small subunit ribosomal RNA", at positions 88 to 334 of the family's 1533-position model. The record is from RNAcentral.
CGGGCGACCGGCAAACGGGUGCGGAACACGUACACAACCUUCCUUUAAAUGGGGAAUAGCCCAGGGAAACUUGGAUUAAUACCCCGUAACAUUAUGAAGUGGCAUCACUUUAUAAUUAUAGCUACGGCGUUUAAAGAUGGGUGUGCGGCUGAUUAGGUAGUUGGCGGGGUAACGGCCCACCAAGCCUUCGAUCAGUAACUGGUGUGAGAGCACGACCAGUCACACGGGCACUGAGACACGGGCCCG